UUCAAUGUCGUCUACCCAGAGAUUGCUUCCAGACAACUUUUGGGUCAAAGGACAUGUACUACAAACUACUGGAAUCGCAGCGUUAACAUAUUCAUCAAUCUUUCCUUGUUGAGUACGGUCAGAAAAAAGUUUGUACUUAAAAAAAUAUUGUACUUAUUUACCUAUCAAAUAAUGUGUUAAGAGUCGUGUUUUGUACGAGAGGACGUGGCCGUUCGGCGCGCUACACUGAUGAGCGAAGGGUGUGUUUAUAGGGUGACAAUUGUCUACGGAUAUAUCUGGAAUGAAUCAGUCAGAGAAUUUCACGUGCAAUAUUUUUUCAUGUUAUGAAUAUUAUUAAAAAAAUUAUAAUAUA
Galleria mellonella (greater wax moth) is the source of this 352-nucleotide long non-coding RNA. RefSeq lists it as uncharacterized. The record is from RefSeq and is a predicted model, not a curated record. The transcript has 2 exons. NCBI's taxonomy places the organism in Eukaryota, Metazoa, Arthropoda, Insecta, Lepidoptera, Pyralidae.